UACAGAGAGUGCAAGCGUUAAUCGGAAUUACUGGGCGUAAAGCGCACGUAGGUGGAUAUUUAAGUCGAAUGUGAAAGCCCUGGGCUUAACCUAGGAAUUGCAUCCGAUACUGAAUAUCUAGAGUAUGGUAGAGGGAAGUGGAAUUUCCGGUGUAGCGGUGAAAUGCGUAGAUAUCGGAAGGAACACCAGUGGCGAAAGAGGCUUCCUGGACCAAUACUGACUUUCAGGUGCGAAAGCGUGGGGAGCAAACAGG
RNAcentral lists this ribosomal RNA (253 nucleotides) under uncultured bacterium. RNAcentral's name for it is "partial 16S ribosomal RNA". It matches the Rfam family "Bacterial small subunit ribosomal RNA", at positions 524 to 776 of the family's 1533-position model. The record is from RNAcentral.